UGAUGAAGACAUCCAGUACCGCCUGUUGACAAGAUUUGUGAAUGAGGCAGUCAUGUGCCUGCAGGAAGGGAUCUUGGCCACACCUGCAGAGGGAGACAUUGGAGCAGUCUUUGGGCUCGGCUUCCCACCUUGUCUUGGAGGGCCUUUCAGAUUCACAGAUCUGUACGGUGCUCAGAAGAUAGCAGACCGGCUCAGGAAGUAUGAGGAUGCCUAUGGAAAACAGUUCACCCCAUGCCAGCUGCUAAUUGACUACGCCAACAAUCCUAACAAGAAGUUCUACCAGUGAGUGGGGCUUUUGCCCCGCCGAGUUGGCGCACUAGCCCCAGCUGCCAGCAGUGCUGGUUCUCUAUCAGAGUGGUGUCCAGACUUCAUCAGAGUAACCAGAAGGAAGAUGAACUCGGACAUUGGGUUUGCUCUUUGCUCAAAGUGCCUUCAGCCAUCUCUCCCUCUUGAUGAAGUCUGUGAAAUAGAGUUUACACUUCAUGUUGGAAGGUGGAACCCACCAUGCUCAUUUUAUAAGCCCCAAGGCCCAGAAUGGCAGCAUAGAGCCAUCUGGAGCUGUCUUUGCUGCCUGCUCCUCCCUGGAGGCCUGGGUGGCCUAUGGUGGUAAGGACAAACAUACAUAACAAUAAAAACCAAGCUCUGUAGCAGCC
Molecule: long non-coding RNA, 653 nt
Organism: Otolemur garnettii (small-eared galago)
Lineage: Eukaryota; Metazoa; Chordata; Mammalia; Primates; Galagidae
Exons: 2
Source: RefSeq, a predicted model, not a curated record